RNAcentral lists this long non-coding RNA (1244 nucleotides) under Ananas comosus (pineapple). RNAcentral's name for it is "long non-coding RNA (ACOM_LNC002534)". Lineage: Eukaryota; Viridiplantae; Streptophyta; Magnoliopsida; Poales; Bromeliaceae. The record is from RNAcentral.
UCUCUCUCUCUCUAUAUAUAUAUAUAUAUAAAUAUAAAUAUAAUUGAGCUCCUAUGUUUUUAAAAGUACUAAGUUAUUGGUGCUUGUAGAUUUUUGGUCAUUAGAUUAAGAGAUGUGUAGUUAAGAUAAUGUCAAACCCCUAGGGUUAAGUGAAUAGUUGGUUAAAUAGUAUGAUCUAACGGUGGAAAUGUUCAAAGAAAUAGAUCCAACGGUAAAAAAUUUAUAAGCACUAAGUGCUUGGUGCUUUUACAAGCAUCAUAACCGGACUCUCUCUCUCUCUCUCUCUCUCUCUCUCUCUCUCUCUCUAUAUAUAUAUAUAUAUAUAUAUAUAUAUAGAGUGAGGCUACUAUGCUUCUGGAAGCACAGAGCCUUCCGUGCUUUCAGGUCGUUUUUGAUGUUGCGACUUUCGAAUCGUAGAUCGGCUCCAUUAAACUUGAUCUAGAGUAUUUGAAGUACUUAGAAAAUAAAUUUUAUCAUUUUUCGAUAUCAUUUGUCUAGUGAUCGAAGGCGCUUAAAAUCAAUAAUUUUAAAGGCCGUGGUGAGCCAUUUGUAAGUUUAACGAUGUCGAAAUAUUCAAAUCACGUGAAAUUUUGAUAGAAAAAUCUUUAUACUAUAUAAAACAAGGUCAAUAUCUUUGAUCUAAAAUUUUAAUGUCAUAUUAUCACGUUUUGUAUGAUUUUUAUUUUCAGCCGUUGAUUUUAAGCCCCUUAGUUCACUAGGCAAAUGAUAUCGAAAAAUUACAAAAUUUAUUUUCUAGGUACUUCGAAUACUCUAAAUCAAGUUUAACCGAGCCGAUCGACGAUUCGAAAGUCGCAACAUAAAAAACGACCUGAAAGCACGAAAGGCUCCGUGUUUCCAGAAGCAUAGUAGCCUCACUCUAUAUAUAGGGUUGGGCUAGAAUGCUAUUGAUAGCAAAAAAUCUUUUUUCCUAUCAAGUUUUUAGCCUUUGGAUUAAUUUCUUUCUUCAUUUCUAACCGUUGGAUUAAAUAUUAUAACCCAGUGGGGACUACUCAACCCUAGGGGGACCACUCAACCCUAAGAGACUAAUAUCAUCAUAACCCUACAAUUCUUCAUCUAAUGGUUAAAAACUUGAUAGCAAAAAAGGUUUUUUGCUAUCAAUAGUAUUCCAGCCCAACUCUAUAUAUAAUUGUCAUGCAGAUAUAUUAAAUUAGCCAUUUAAAUCAUGAUUAUCAUGUGCAUGGGUACAUCAGAAUGUAAACUGAAAUAUAGUUAAUGUAUCAGUU